AACACUGGGUUAGUGUGAGAAAAUAUUCAACGUCUACAAACUAAUAUAAGUAUAAUAAUCUUGACCACAGGGAGGGAUCCUUUGCAAGAAUUUCAUCUGCCACGGAAACUUUUCAGCAGAGCGACACUCCGACGCUCACCAAGAACGGCCAGCUCACGCAGGUGACCUGUGACAAGGCCCCCCUUACUAAAAAUUAGAAAAUACAACCAGAUAGAAUCCAUCCCACAAUUAAUGCAUGAUGUGAGAAGAAAAUCUGCUGCUACCAAACGCCCACCCGCCCACAAUCACAGACUCAGAACACAGUGCUGCCUCUACAAUGGACACAACUGUCAUGGGAAAGGGCCAUUAAUGACUUAAUGUGUGUUACAGGGUUAAAAUUCUUUAUUUUGUAUAUAUUUUUUUAAAUGUUUUUUUCUUUUGUUUAUGUAAAUAUUUCAAAUAUGUCCCUAGCUUUUUGAUGCAUUUUGCUGCUAUGGCCAUAGUGUAGUAUGAAUAAAUAAAAGCUCUUUAAUCUUAAA
Molecule: long non-coding RNA, 518 nt
Organism: Cynoglossus semilaevis (tongue sole)
Lineage: Eukaryota; Metazoa; Chordata; Actinopteri; Pleuronectiformes; Cynoglossidae
Exons: 2
Source: RefSeq, a predicted model, not a curated record